UAUUCUAGUAACAUGGGGAUUAUUCAAAUGGGCUUUCUACCCAUUUGGAAAAAUGGAUGGUCCUGAAGGAAACAACUUUGGGGAGGAGGGCCCUGGAGCACCAUUAGCAUAAAAGGAAGCUCAGCCUUCUUCAGUAACAACAAGGACAUUCAGCCCACCAGUGGUGUCUUCAGGAAAGAAAGCCUGUGAAGAAGCAGCCCCAGCCACAUCACCAGCUUCCAAAGAGGCUGCAGAAACACGCACCUUGGAAAGGCCAGGACUGCAGUCAUGUCACCAUCUGGAACAUCAAGGUGGAAACCUCCUGAACCCUAGGCACUCAGACCAGCAGAAUCUUGGCAAUAAAGGACCUUUGUGUACUGGAACAGCAAAUGUGGUCUCAACACAGUUACAAAUAAAGACAACAAAAUAGAUUUUUGGGAGGACUAAGGAGCGGAAGAGAGAACUGUUAAAUCAAUACUCUGAAGAACAUCUCAUUUACUUGACAGAAAAGUCCAACAGUGGUGCCUUCAGGAAAGAAAGCCUGUGAUGAAGCAGCUCCAACAACAUCACCAGCUGCCAAGGAGGCUUGAGAAACU
Apodemus sylvaticus (European woodmouse) is the source of this 575-nucleotide long non-coding RNA. RefSeq lists it as uncharacterized. Lineage: Eukaryota; Metazoa; Chordata; Mammalia; Rodentia; Muridae. The record is from RefSeq and is a predicted model, not a curated record. The transcript is spliced from 5 exons.